UAGUACGAGAGGAACACUUCGUCCAGAUACUUGGUUAAUGCCGUUGUCUGAAAAGACAGUACGGCGAAGCUACCAUCUGCUGGAUUACGGCUGAACGCCUCUAAGCCGGAAUCCAUGCUGGAUAAGCAGUGUUGUACACCGUGCUCAAUGCUACAAGAAAAAGGCUAGGUCAGGCUUCGGCCUGACCAAAAUUCAAGCUGCUAUACCUCUGGCUGCAUUGACUUGUGGUCAGAGUGUAUGGUGAUCAUAGCAAUUGCAAGUAUUGGGCUCGAUAAAUCCUUUGAAGACGACUUAAUUGCAUCCGGGUAUUGUAAGUGUUGAGAGUAGGCUUAGUCUUACGAUCCACUGAGAUUCAUCCCGUGUUGCGCCGAUUUGU
This 376-nucleotide non-coding RNA is filed under the name Perkinsus marinus ATCC 50983. RNAcentral's name for it is "Eukaryotic large subunit ribosomal RNA". It matches the Rfam family "Eukaryotic large subunit ribosomal RNA", at positions 3030 to 3401 of the family's 3401-position model. Lineage: Eukaryota; Perkinsozoa; Perkinsida; Perkinsidae. The record is from Rfam by way of RNAcentral.